RNAcentral lists this ribosomal RNA (833 nucleotides) under uncultured deep-sea bacterium. RNAcentral describes it as "bacterial SSU rRNA". It matches the Rfam family "Bacterial small subunit ribosomal RNA", at positions 8 to 817 of the family's 1533-position model. The record is from RNAcentral.
AGAGUUUGAUCAUGGCUCAGAACGAACGCUGGCGGCGUGCUUAAGACAUGCAAGUCGAACGGUAAGGCCCCUUCGGGGGUACACGAGUGGCGCACGGGUGAGUAACGCGUGGGUAAUCUACCCUCGGGUCUGGGACAACUCCGGGAAACUGGAGCUAAUACCGGAUAAGACCACGAGGUCUUCGGACUUCGCGGAAAAAGGUGGCCUCUUCUUGAAAGCUAUCGCCUGUUGAUGAGCCCGCGUCCCAUUAGUUUGUUGGUGAGGUAACGGCUCACCAAGGCGACGAUGGGUAGCUGGUCUGAGAGGAUGAUCAGCCACACUGGAACUGAGACACGGUCCAGACUCCUACGGGAGGCAGCAGUCGGGAAUCUUGUGCAAUGGGGGAAACCCCGACACAGCAACGCCGCGUGAGGGAUGAAGGCCUUAGGGUCGUAAACCUCUGUCGGGAGGGAAGAAAGCUUCGAGGGCGAAUAAUCCUCGGAGUUGACGGUACCUCCAAAGGAAGCGCCGGCUAACUCCGUGCCAGCAGCCGCGGUAAUACGGAGGGCGCAAGCGUUGUUCGGAAUCAUUGGGCGUAAAGCGCGUGUAGGCGGCUUGGCAAGUCGGACGUGAAAGCCCGGGGCUCAACCCCGGAACGGCGCCCGAAACUGCCUGGCUAGAGUCCCGGAGAGGAGGGCGGAAUUCCCGGUGUAGAGGUGAAAUUCGUAGAUAUCGGGAGGAACACCAGCGGCGAAGGCGGCCCUCUGGACGGUGACUGACGCUGAGACGCGAAAGCGUGGGGGAGCAAACAGGAUUAGAUACCCUGGUAGUCCACGCCGUAAACGUUGGGUGCU